RNAcentral lists this ribosomal RNA (1026 nucleotides) under Noviherbaspirillum agri. RNAcentral describes it as "bacterial SSU rRNA". It matches the Rfam family "Bacterial small subunit ribosomal RNA", at positions 50 to 1073 of the family's 1533-position model. The record is from RNAcentral. Lineage: Bacteria; Pseudomonadati; Pseudomonadota; Betaproteobacteria; Burkholderiales; Oxalobacteraceae.
UGAACAUGCAGUCGAACGGCAGCGCGGGGGCAACCCUGGCGGCGAGUGGCGAACGGGUGAGUAAAGUAUCGGAACGUGCCUAGGAGUGGGGGAUAACUAGUCGAAAGAUUAGCUAAUACCGCAUACGCCCUGUGGGGGAAAGUGGGGGAUCGCAAGACCUCAUGCUUUUAGAGCGGCCGAUAUCUGAUUAGCUAGUUGGUAGGGUAAAAGCCUACCAAGGCGACGAUCAGUAGCUGGUCUGAGAGGACGACCAGCCACACUGGGACUGAGACACGGCCCAGACUCCUACGGGAGGCAGCAGUGGGGAAUUUUGGACAAUGGGGGCAACCCUGAUCCAGCAAUGCCGCGUGUGUGAAGAAGGCCUUCGGGUUGUAAAGCACUUUUGUCCGGGAAGAAAUCCCUUGAGCUAAUAUCUCGGGGGGAUGACGGUACUGGAAGAAUAAGCACCGGCUAACUACGUGCCAGCAGCCGCGGUAAUACGUAGGGUGCGAGCGUUAAUCGGAAUUACUGGGCGUAAAGCGUGCGCAGGCGGUUGUGCAAGACAGAUGUGAAAUCCCCGGGCUCAACCUGGGAACUGCAUUUGUGACUGCACGGCUAGAGUGUGUCAGAGGGGGGUAGAAUUCCACGUGUAGCAGUGAAAUGCGUAGAUAUGUGGAGGAACACCGAUGGCGAAGGCAGCCCCCUGGGAUAACACUGACGCUCAUGCACGAAAGCGUGGGGAGCAAACAGGAUUAGAUACCCUGGUAGUCCACGCCCUAAACGAUGUCAACUAGUUGUCGGGUCUUAAUUGACUUGGUAACGCAGCUAACGCGUGAAGUUGACCGCCUGGGGAGUACGGUCGCAAGAUUAAAACUCAAAGGAAUUGACGGGGACCCGCACAAGCGGUGGAUGAUGUGGAUUAAUUCGAUGCACGCGAAAAACCUUACCUACCCUUGACAUGGUCGGAAUCCUGAAGAGAUCUGGGAGUGCUCGAAAGAGAACCGGCGCACAGUGCUGCAUGGCUGUCGUCAGCUCGUGUCGUGAGAU